AAAUUGAAGAGUUUGAUCAUGGCUCAGAUUGAACGCUGGCGGCAGGCCUAACACAUGCAAGUCGAACGGUAACACAGAGAGCUUGCUCUCGGGUGACGAGUGGCGGACGGGUGAGUAAUGUCUGGGAAACUGCCUGAUGGAGGGGGAUAACUACUGGAAACGGUGGCUAAUACCGCAUAA
RNAcentral lists this ribosomal RNA (180 nucleotides) under Salmonella enterica subsp. enterica serovar Kedougou. Its description in RNAcentral is "partial 16S ribosomal RNA". It matches the Rfam family "Bacterial small subunit ribosomal RNA", at positions 1 to 176 of the family's 1533-position model. The record is from RNAcentral. Lineage: Bacteria; Pseudomonadati; Pseudomonadota; Gammaproteobacteria; Enterobacterales; Enterobacteriaceae.